This 301-nucleotide ribosomal RNA is filed under the name uncultured bacterium. Its description in RNAcentral is "partial 16S ribosomal RNA". It matches the Rfam family "Bacterial small subunit ribosomal RNA", at positions 509 to 807 of the family's 1533-position model. The record is from RNAcentral.
CAGUCGCCACGGUAAUACGAAGGGGGCUAGCGUUGUUCGGAUUUACUGGGCGUAAAGGGCGCGUAGGCGGGUUUUUAAGUCAGGGGUGAAAUCCCAAGGCUCAACCUUGGAACUGCCUUUGAUACUGGAAAUCUUGAGUCCGGGAGAGGUGAGUGGAACUGCGAGUGUAGAGGUGAAAUUCGUAGAUAUUCGCAAGAACACCAGUGGCGAAGGCGGCUCACUGGCCCGGAACUGACGCUGAGGCGCGAAAGCGUGGGGAGCAAACAGGAUUAGAUACCCCAGUAGUCCCUGUCUCUUAUAC